RNAcentral lists this ribosomal RNA (256 nucleotides) under uncultured bacterium. RNAcentral describes it as "partial 16S ribosomal RNA". It matches the Rfam family "Bacterial small subunit ribosomal RNA", at positions 524 to 776 of the family's 1533-position model. The record is from RNAcentral.
UACGUAGGCAGCGAGCGUUGUUCGGAGUUACUGGGCGUAAAGGGUGUGUAGGCGGUUGUUUAAGUUUGGUGUGAAAUCUCCCGGCUUAACCGGGAGGGUGCGCCGGAAACUGGGGUGCGUGGAGUGUGGGAGAGGUGAAGCGGAAGUUCCCGGUGUAGCGGUGAAAUGCGUAGAUAUCGGGAGGAACACCUGCGGUGUAGACGGCUUACUGGACCAUAACUGACGCUGAGGCACGAAAGCGUGGGUAGCAAACAGG